CCUACGGGUGGCUGCAGUGGGGAAUCUUGCACAAUGGGGGAAACCCUGAUGCAGCGACGCCGCGUGAGCGAUGAAGCCCUUCGGGGUGUAAAGCUCUUUCGGCAGGAACGAUAAUGACGGUACCUGCAGAAGAAGCUGCGGCUAACUACGUGCCAGCAGCCGCGGUAAUACGUAGGCAGCAAGCGUUGUUCGGAAUUACUGGGCGUAAAGAGUGUGUAGGUGGUGUCGUAAGUUUGGUGUGAAAUCUCCCGGCUUAACUGGGAGGGUGCGCCGAA
This 275-nucleotide ribosomal RNA is filed under the name uncultured bacterium. RNAcentral's name for it is "partial 16S ribosomal RNA". It matches the Rfam family "Bacterial small subunit ribosomal RNA", at positions 338 to 630 of the family's 1533-position model. The record is from RNAcentral.